GUGACAGGUGCUGCAUGGCUGUCGUCAGCUCGUGUCGUGAGAUGUUCGGUUAAGUCCGGCAACGAGCGCAACCCACAUCCCUAGUUGCCAGCAGUUCGGCUGGGCACUCUAUGGAGACUGCCCGUGAUAAGCGGGAGGAAGGUGUGGAUGACGUCAAGUCCUCAUGGCCCUUACGGGUUGGGCUACACACGUGCUACAAUGGUAGUGACAAUGGGUUAAUCCCAAAAAGCUAUCUCAGUUCGGAUUGUCGUCUGCAACUCGACGGCAUGAAGUCGGAAUCGCUAGUAAUCGCGUAACAGCAUGACGCGGUGAAUACGUUCCCGGGCCUUGUACACACCGCCCGUCACACCAUGGGAGUUGGUUCUACCCGACGGCCGUGCGCUAACCUUUUGGAGGCAGCGGACCACGGUAGGAUCAGCGACUGGGGUGAAGUCGUAACAAGGUAGCCUA
Molecule: ribosomal RNA, 450 nt
Filed under: uncultured bacterium
Lineage: Bacteria
Description: bacterial SSU rRNA
Rfam family: Bacterial small subunit ribosomal RNA
Source: RNAcentral